This 232-nucleotide ribosomal RNA is filed under the name Listeria monocytogenes. RNAcentral describes it as "partial 23S ribosomal RNA". It matches the Rfam family "Bacterial large subunit ribosomal RNA", at positions 387 to 621 of the family's 2925-position model. Lineage: Bacteria; Bacillati; Bacillota; Bacilli; Caryophanales; Listeriaceae. The record is from RNAcentral.
GCUUUCCCUCCAGAGUGGAUCCUGAGUACGGCGGAACACGUGAAAUUCCGUCGGAAUCCGGGAGGACCAUCUCCCAAGGCUAAAUACUCCCUAGUGACCGAUAGGGAACCAGUACCGUGAGGGAAAGGUGAAAAGCACCCCGGAAGGGGAGUGAAACAGUUCCUGAAACCGUGUGCCCACAAGGAGUUAGAGCCCGGUAAUGGGUGAUAGCGUGCCUUUUGUAGAAUGAACC